GGAAGAGAUAGGUAGAGCCAGGAGAAGGGCUCACCUUGCCAGAUGUAGGUGUGUGUCACUGAGGAGAUCUGGAUGGUGCUUCCCAACCAGGCGGAGCAUGUCAUCAUACAGCUGCUUUUUGUACAUGGUGAUGGCAAGAUCAGGCUCUUAUACUGUCACAUAGAGCCUGGGGAAGGGAGAUACAUCUGGGGCCUCCUAGACCCAGAUCCCUACUGUCACUGCCUUCUGGGCAGAGGGUACAUAUCCUGAGCCCCAUCCCUCUUCCCAGCAAUGAAAUCUCAUCUCUCCCUACACCUCCUCUGAGGCCACAGCUCACCUUUCAGCCUCACGGUACUUGCCCUGCUUCUCCAUUUCCUGGGCCUGAGUGAUGUACAACACCAACACAUCUUCUGGUCUCAUGCAUUUCAUCGCCAGCUGUGGAGGCACAGAGGCAGGGUAGCCUCAGGUCCAAUUCCCCAGGGAAGCAGGGCUUCAAGGGAACCUGUUUUUCAGGAACUCUGAACUCUCCCAACAAUCACAGGAGUUUGGUUAUUGCCACUCUACUAGUCAGGUCGGGGAAUUCCAAGUCCUUAUGGAGCAGAGGAAGAAAUAUAUUCUGCUAAGGUCUGCAAUGCCUUGUGCUGGGACAUACACUCCCAUUGCCACUGUAACCACUGGGCUCUGAAGUGUAAGGCAAGAGCAAAGUCAUCAUUGUGACCAGAGCCAUCAGGAGUGGUAGUUCAGAUUCUGCAGCUCGCAAGCCCAUCUGUUCCUUCAAGAAUGAUAGAUAGGUCUGGAAACAAGGGCCUCUCUUCAUCCCUUCCUUUCUCUGUGGCUAGGGGUCAAAGUGGCUCAGACUGUUUUUUGGUACUCUUUGUCAGCUUUCAGGGAGCCAAGCAAAGAGGAGAAACAGACCCAGGAAUGAUGCCACACUGCCACUAAGGCAGAGUUCUCUUAUCAUGAACUCCACCCAUCUCUACCUUGUGGGCUUGUUUCCAAUGGCCAGCCUGGGUGUACAUGUCUAUAGCAUCUUUCGUUCAGUCUCCCUUAGUAUAGAGCUCCUCAGCAAUCUGUAGUUGACGAGAGGUAGAUACAAAAGGUCAGAGCAACAGGGUUGAAUGAGGAAAGAACAAACCUUGGCUGGGAUGAUGUUUCUAAGAGAUGGCAUCAAAACGGUCCAAAGACGGUGAUUCAUACUCUGGAAUUAUAAACCUCCUGGGUCUCCUUCCCUGAAACAAGGUCCCCUACACCAGAAUGUUGAACCUUCACAUGGAGAUCUUACCCCUAGGGAUUUUGGGUCCCCACAAGUAUUAAGCCAAGAUGCCCCAUUCCCCACCCUACCCUCAAUUUUGGUUCCUACCUCACUAAGGCUAUUAGUGUUCAAGUCCCCCACCAGCAGUGUGUGUGAUGUGUGGGCCACCAAGUAAUGUUCCUUUCCCAGGAUUUUCACCUCUUCCCCCUCAUAGCCAGAGUGGGACUUGAGCACCACCCGGGUUCCCGAUGACAGGUUCUUCACAAUCACCUUGGUAAAGGACAACUCUGAGCCCCUUAGGCUUCCCCAGUCCAAAAGAAGGGUGAACAUCCAUGCCCUUUGCCACCUCCACAGUCUAAACAAAGCUAAUAUCUUGUUCCUCCUUGGGCCUUGGAUAUUGUUGACAGUAAUGGUACCUUACAUUUAUAUGGGGAUUUACUAUUUAUGAAAUGCGUUCCUAUUUAGCUCUUUUGAUGCUCAUAAUUUAUUUAAUUCUGAAAGUUCCACGGGGUAAAACCAAUCACUCUAUGUUUUCAUAGUCUUGGUACAAACCUUAUAUAUCACUGAUCACAGUAUACGUAUUGAUUGAUUAACUGACUGACAGAGUCUCACUAUGUUGCUUAGGCUGGCCUUGAACUCCUGGGUUCAAGCAAUCCUCCUGCCUCCACCUCCUGAGUAGCUGAGACUACAGGCAUGUGCCACUGUAUCUGGCUAAUAUUAUUUUUUUGUUAUGUCUGUGUCCUCUAUUAUAACAAUCUCCUUGAUCCAAGGGACAAUGUCUUACAGAUAAUUAUCUGUGUAUUACCAAUGCCUAACACUGCUGACACAUAGUAGAGAAUGAAUACAUGUUUCUGGAAAGAACAAAAGAAUGAAGAAACCAAGGUAUAAUAAAUGGAAGGACAGAGGUAGAAAAAAGAGAAAAGUGGGCUCAGGAACCGAGAAAUUAGCUUGCAACAUCAAAGACAUGAGCUCAGGGGCCUUAAAACAACAGAGUUCACAUUUAUAAUCCUGUUUAUCAAACUGCCCCAUUGACAGUGUGUAGGCAGUAAAGUUUUAAACCAGGAAGGUGUAAGUAGCAAUCACUGCACAGCUUAAGCCCAGUGCUUAAAAGUUUUCUUACAAUAAGCUGCAGGAACCACAGCAGGAAAGAUACCAGGGUGUUGCUCUGACAUAUUCUGUUGCCCAGAAAAAUGCUUCCAGAGGGACAAAGAUUAAAAUUGACACUAUGGCUGUGGCCAGAAGGCAGGGAAAUGUUAGAUA
Long non-coding RNA from Callithrix jacchus (white-tufted-ear marmoset), 2491 nucleotides. NCBI's taxonomy places the organism in Eukaryota, Metazoa, Chordata, Mammalia, Primates, Cebidae. The record is from Ensembl.